UUAAGCUACUAAGAGCGUAGGGAGAAUGCCUAGGUACCAAGAGCCGAAGAAAGACGUGAUAAGCUGCGAAAAGCCACGGGGAGGAGCAAAUAUCCAUUAUAUCCGUGGAUUUCUGAAUGAGGAAACUCAACUGACAGAAACAGGUCAGUUAUCUAUACAUGAGUAAAGUAGUGUAUAGAGGGGAACGUGGGGAACUGAAACAUCUAAGUACCCACAGGAAAAGAAAGAAAACUCGAUUCCUAGAGUAGUGGCGAGCGAAAUAGGAAGAGCCCAAACCGGAAGAAGAAAUUCAUCCGGGGUUCGGACUACAUAAUUGAUUCAAUGAGUUUAGUAGAAUUGUUUGGGAAAGCAAACCAGAGACGGUGAAAGUCCAGUAUACGAAAAGCGAAUUGACAAGGUAGUAUCCAGAGUAGUGCGAGACACGUGAAAUCUCGUAUGAAAGAGCGGGGACCACCCCGUAAGGCUAAAUACUAAUUGGUAACCGAUAGUGAAGAAGUACCGUGAGGGAAAGUUGAAAAGAACCCCGGGAGGGGAGUGAAAUAGAACCUGAAACCCUAUGUUUACAAGCAGACAAAGCACGUUAAGGUGCGAUGUCGUACUUUUUGUAGAACGGUCCGGCGAGUUAUUUUAUAUGGCAAGGUUAAGUGCUGAAGGUACGAAGCCGAAGAGAAAUCGAGUCUGAAGAGGGCGUAGAAGUCAUAUGAAAUAGACCCGAAACCGAGUGACCUAUCCAUGUCCAGGUUGAAGCUUGAGUAAAAUCAAGUGGAGGACCGAACCGAUAAGCGUUAAAAAGCUUCCGGAUGAGGUGUGGAUAGCGGAGAAAUUCCAAUCGAACUCGGAGAUAGCUGGUUCUCCUCGAAAUAGUUUUAGGACUAGCCUUGUUUCGUAGCAUGUGGGGGUAGAGCACUGAAUGAGCUAGGGGCCAAACAAGGUUACUGAACUCUAUCAAACUACGAAUACCAUAUGUGUAAGAACAGGAGUCAGACUGCGGGAGCUAAGUUCCGUGGUCAAAAGGGAAAGAGCCCAGAUCGUCAAUUAAGGUCCCAAAGAUAUAGUUAAGUGGAAAACGAUGUGAUUUUGCGUAAACAACCAGGAUGUUGGCUUAGAAGCAGCCAUUCAUUCAAAGAGUGCGUAAUAGCUCACUGGUCGAGUGAAGUUGCGCGGAAAAUUACCGGGGCUAAACUAUACACCGAAAUUGCGGAUUUGUGCAGAUGACACAGGAGCGGAAGAUAAGCGAGGAAGAGGAAAAACUCGUAUCGAAAGAUAUAGUGAAGAUUAAAGUAACGAAUUAUCAAGAAGCUAAUGGCGAGAAAAGUCUGUAGAUAUUGUAUUAAGUACCCGUACCGCAAACCGACACAGGUAGAUGAGGAGAGGAUCCUAAGAUGAGCGAGAGAAGCAUUGUUAAGGAACUCGGCAAACUGACCCCGUAACUUAGGGAGAAGGGGUGCUGGUGUAAAAGCCAGUCGCAGAGAAUAGUCCCAAGCAACUGUUUAACAAAAACACAGGUUUCUGCUAAAUCGAAAGAUGAAGUAUAGGAGCUGACACCUGCCCAGUGCUGGAAGGUUAAGGGAAAGGGUUAGGAGUAAUCCGAAGCCUAGAACUAAAGCCCCAGUGAACGGCGGCCGUAACUAUAACGGUCCUAAGGUAGCGAAAUUCCUUGUCAGGUAAGUUCUGACCCGCACGAAAGGUGUAAUGAUUUGGGAGCUGUCUCGACAAUGUACUCGGCGAAAUUGUAGUACUAGUGAAGAUGCUAGUUACCUGCGACAAGACAGAAAGACCCCAUGGAGCUUUACUGCAGCUUGAUACUGGGUUUCGGUAAUUUAUGUACAGGAUAGGUGGGAUACGAUGAAGCAAGUGCGCCAGCAUUUGUGGAGUAGCCGUUGGGAUACCACCCUUAAAUUAUUGGAAUUCUAACUAGCCGUCAUGAACUGGCGGGAGGACAAUGUCAGGCGGGCAGUUUGACUGGGGCGGUCGCCUCCUAAAGAGUAACGGAGGCGCGCAAAGGUUUCCUCAGCGCGGACAGAAAUCGCGCGAAAGAGUGCAAAGGCAGAAGGAAGCUUAACUGAGAGACUGACAAGUCGACCAGAUACGAAAGUAGGUCUUAGUGAUCCGGUGGUUGUAAGUGGAAAUGCCAUCGCUCAACGGACAAAAGUUACCCUGGGGAUAACAGGCUUAUCUCCCCCAAGAGUUCACAUCGACGGGGAGGUUUGGCACCUCGAUGUCGGCUCAUCACAUCCUGGAGCGGAAGUACGUUCCAAGGGUUGGGCUGUUCGCCCAUUAAAGUGGUACGCGAGCUGGGUUCAGAACGUCGUGAGACAGUUCGGUCCUUAUCUGUCGCAGGCGGAGGAUAUUUGAAGGGAGUUGACCUUAGUACGAGAGGACCAGGUUGAAGGAACCGAUGGUGCACCAGUUGUACUACCAAGUGCAUAGCUGGAUAGCUAAGUUCCGAAGGGAUAAACGCUGAAAGCAUCUAAGUGUGAAGCCCACCCUAAGAUAAGAUAUCCCAUAUCGUAAGAUAGUAAGAUUCCAUUAAGACUAAAUGGUUGAUAGGUUGGAGGUGUAAGUAUAGUGAUAUAUUGAGCUGACCAAUACUAAUAAAUCGAGGGCUUAACUAU
Molecule: ribosomal RNA, 2615 nt
Filed under: human gut metagenome
Description: bacterial LSU rRNA
Rfam family: Bacterial large subunit ribosomal RNA
Source: RNAcentral